This 684-nucleotide ribosomal RNA is filed under the name uncultured Bacteroidales bacterium. RNAcentral describes it as "bacterial SSU rRNA". It matches the Rfam family "Bacterial small subunit ribosomal RNA", at positions 67 to 740 of the family's 1533-position model. The record is from RNAcentral. Lineage: Bacteria; Pseudomonadati; Bacteroidota; Bacteroidia; Bacteroidales.
GGGCAGCAUGGUCUUAGCUUGCUAAGGCCGAUGGCGACCGGCGCACGGGUGAGUAACACGUAUCCAACCUGCCGUCUACUCUUGGACAGCCUUCUGAAAGGAAGAUUAAUACAAGAUGGCAUCAUGAGUCCGCAUGUUCACAUGAUUAAAGGUAUUCCGGUAGACGAUGGGGAUGCGUUCCAUUAGAUAGUAGGCGGGGUAACGGCCCACCUAGUCUUCGAUGGAUAGGGGUUCUGAGAGGAAGGUCCCCCACAUUGGAGCUGAGACACGGUCCAAACUCCUACGGGAGGCAGCAGUGAGGAAUAUUGGUCAAUGGGCGAGAGCCUGAACCAGCCAAGUAGCGUGAAGGAUGACUGCCCUAUGGGUUGUAAACUUCUUUUAUAAAGGAAUAAAGUCGGGUAUGUAUACCCGUUUGCAUGUACUUUAUGAAUAAGGAUCGGCUAACUCCGUGCCAGCAGCCGCGGUAAUACGGAGGAUCCGAGCGUUAUCCGGAUUUAUUGGGUUUAAAGGGAGCGUAGAUGGAUGUUUAAGUCAGUUGUGAAAGUUUGCGGCUCAACCGUAAAAUUGCAGUUGAUACUGGAUAUCUUGAGUGCAGUUGAGGCAGGCGGAAUUCGUGGUGUAGCGGUGAAAUGCUUAGAUAUCACGAAGAACUCCGAUUGCGAAGGCAGCCUGCUAAGCUGCAAC